GUCGUAACAAGGUAGCCGUACCGGAAGGUGCGGCUGGAUCACCUCCUUUCUAAGGAGCAUUCUC
RNAcentral lists this ribosomal RNA (64 nucleotides) under Rhodococcus erythropolis. RNAcentral's name for it is "partial 16S ribosomal RNA". The stretch from base 1 to 49 matches the Rfam family "Bacterial small subunit ribosomal RNA", at positions 1485 to 1533 of the family's 1533-position model. The record is from RNAcentral. Lineage: Bacteria; Bacillati; Actinomycetota; Actinomycetes; Mycobacteriales; Nocardiaceae.